AGAGGAAAACCACCCACAUAAACACAUGGCUGUCCAAACUAUUAUCCCUGUCUCUGUAAGGAAAAGAUAGGAAAACAAUGAAGAUACUGGCCUGAUCCCAACAGUAGACAUAAAUUUGAAUCUUUUGACUUGACUCCGGGUAAUUCAUUCUCUUUACUCAGUUGAUGGUAUAAGUUAGUGCUCAGCUAUGCUGAUGUCUUUCCUCUUACUACAGUAAAGAGACACCCAAUUUCCUUGAUGGCUGGUCAGAAAGAUAGCUUGCUGGAAACAACAGUAUUUCCUGAGAGGAGUAGGUCUUUCAUCUGUUAGUCUAAGACAUCCUGAAAGUUCAAUGUGGACAAAUAUAUCUGCCAAGAAUCUGCUUACUUUACACUCUCUAUUCAUGACUUCAUGCCAUACUGAGGAAUUUCUUUGUAGUACAUCUUGUACACAUUUGUAAGGAGAUAGGGACCUGAUUUUUCUGGUUCGGGCAUUCAGCAAGAUAACCCAUCUUUCACUGGUGCCAACCCAGGCUCCUUUUACACUUUUGAACGUUGGAUUACAAGAAAUUUGAGACUUUUGCAUUAUCUUAUUCAACUAACUUAACGAUCUCCAUGAUUUCCAUUAGAAUAAUUUAUUCUAAAGACACUGUUGUAUCUUGUCUUGGUUGUGUUAUUCUAAUAUUUAGUGUGAAACACAGUUUGACAUUUUACAGGUGAGAAAGCUACUUGUGAUGAUAUGGUUUACUUGAGAAAUAUCUUUAGAUUUCCUGGAAACAAACAAACAAACAAAACAAUGAGCCAUUUCUGAGGUCAAAAACAUUAAAAUUCUUCAAGUACAAGUGCAUCUUUGUAGCUUUGUCGCUUCUUUUGUGUGGCUCACCUACUAUAUGACUUUUGGUUUUAUUAUUUUUCAGAAGCAAACAUUACUAAAUAAUGAAAGAUUACAAUGGGGAACACAGAGUGUUGAUAUGCAAGUGGUAUCUGCUAAGGAAAUAGGGGCAGAGACCACCCAAGCCACUCAGAAUGGACUCAGAUGGUCUGAAUGCCUGAAAGCCCCACUUUCCAAGUUACCAAGAUGUCUGUUAGUUGCACAGUGUGUUCUGGGUUUCGUGAGCUGGGCUGGGCUGCGGUGGGCUAUGGUAAUACAGCUGUCUGUGAGUCAUAUACACUCCUCUAAGUAGGCCCCUCACUCAUACUCCUGUUAACUCCAAUAAAAUUCAAUUGUUCAUCAAGG
Molecule: long non-coding RNA, 1215 nt
Filed under: Mus pahari (shrew mouse)
Lineage: Eukaryota; Metazoa; Chordata; Mammalia; Rodentia; Muridae
Description: lncRNA (MGP_PahariEiJ_G0002704.1)
Source: RNAcentral